This 458-nucleotide ribosomal RNA is filed under the name uncultured bacterium. RNAcentral's name for it is "partial 16S ribosomal RNA". It matches the Rfam family "Bacterial small subunit ribosomal RNA", at positions 339 to 795 of the family's 1533-position model. The record is from RNAcentral.
CUACGGGACGCUGCAGUGAGGAAUAUUGGUCAAUGGGCGAAAGCCUGAACCAGCCAAUCCGCGUGCAGGAUGACGGCCCUAUGGGUUGUAAACUGCUUUUAUACGGGAAGAACUCCCUGACGUGUCAGGGGCUGACGGUACCGUAUGAAUAAGCAUCGGCUAACUCCGUGCCAGCAGCCGCGGUAAUACGGAGGAUGCAAGCGUUAUCCGGAUUUAUUAGGUUUAAAGGGUGCGUAGGCGGAAUGGUCAGUCAGUGGUGAAAUCCUACAGCUUAACUGUAGAACUGCCAUUGAUACUGCUAUUCUAGAGUUCAGUUGAGGUAGGCGGAAUGUGUAGUGUAGCGGUGAAAUGCUUAGAUAUUACACAGAACACCGAUUGCGAAGGCAGCUUACUAAACUGACACUGACGCUGAGGCACGAAAGCGUGGGGAGCGAACAGGAUUAGAUACCCCAGUAGUC